Molecule: ribosomal RNA, 147 nt
Filed under: Fomitiporella caryophylli
Lineage: Eukaryota; Fungi; Basidiomycota; Agaricomycetes; Hymenochaetales; Hymenochaetaceae
Description: 5.8S ribosomal RNA
Rfam family: 5.8S ribosomal RNA
About the family: 5.8S ribosomal RNA (5.8S rRNA) is a component of the large subunit of the eukaryotic ribosome.
Source: RNAcentral
AACAACGGAUCUCUUGGCUCUCGCAUCGAUGAAGAACGCAGCGAAAUGCGAUAAGUAAUGUGAAUUGCAGAAUUCAGUGAAUCAUCGAAUCUUUGAACGCACCUUGCGCCCCUUGGUAUUCCGAGGGGCAUGCCUGUUUGAGUGUCA